UGGCUCAGAUUGAACGCUGGCGGCAUGCCUUACACAUGCAAGUCGAACGGCAGCACGGACUUCGGUCUGGUGGCGAGUGGCGAACGGGUGAGUAAUGUAUCGGAACGUACCUUUCAGUGGGGGAUAACGUAGCGAAAGUUACGCUAAUACCGCAUAUUCUGUGAGCAGGAAAGCAGGGGAUCGCAAGACCUUGCGCUGAUUGAGCGGCCGAUAUCAGAUUAGCUAGUUGGUGGGGUAAAGGCCUACCAAGGCUACGAUCUGUAGCGGGUCUGAGAGGAUGAUCCGCCACACUGGAACUGAGACACGGUCCAGACUCCUACGGGAGGCAGCAGUGGGGAAUUUUGGACAAUGGGGGCAACCCUGAUCCAGCCAUGCCGCGUGAGUGAAGAAGGCCUUCGGGUUGUAAAGCUCUUUCGGCCGGGAAG
RNAcentral lists this ribosomal RNA (425 nucleotides) under Dechloromonas sp. R-28401. Its description in RNAcentral is "bacterial SSU rRNA". It matches the Rfam family "Bacterial small subunit ribosomal RNA", at positions 20 to 447 of the family's 1533-position model. The record is from RNAcentral. Lineage: Bacteria; Pseudomonadati; Pseudomonadota; Betaproteobacteria; Rhodocyclales; Azonexaceae.